AUUGAACGCUGGCGGCAGGCCUAACACAUGCAAGUCGAACGAGUGGCGGACGGGUGAGUAAUGUCUGGGAAACUGCCUGAUGGAGGGGGAUAACUACUGGAAACGGUAGCUAAUACCGCAUACCAUCGGAUGUGCCCAGAUGGGAUUAGCUAGUAGGUGGGGUAAAGGCUCACCUAGGCGACGAUCCCUAGCUGGUCUGAGAGGAUGACCAGCCACACUGGAACUGAGCCACGGCCCAGCCUCCUACGGGAGGCAGCAGUGGGGAAUAGUGCACAAUGGGAGCAAGCCGGAUGCAGCCAUGCCGCGUGUGUGAAGAAGGUCUUCGGGUUGUAAAGUACGUUCAGCGGGGAGGCGUUACCCGCAGAAGAAGCACCGGCUAACUCCGUGCCAGCCGCCGCGGUAAUAC
This 406-nucleotide ribosomal RNA is filed under the name uncultured bacterium. RNAcentral's name for it is "partial 16S ribosomal RNA". It matches the Rfam family "Bacterial small subunit ribosomal RNA", at positions 29 to 526 of the family's 1533-position model. The record is from RNAcentral.